AUUAKAUUAAAAGCCAACGCCCUUCKGGGCUCUGUGGUGAUUCAUAAUAACUGGUCGAAUCKCAUGCCUUGCKCCGGCRAUGGUUCAUUCRMAUUUCUUCCCUAUCAACUUUCGAUGCRAGGGUCUUGUCCUCKCAUGGKUGCACGGGWAACGGAGGGUUAGGGCUCRACCCCRGASAARGARCCUGAKAAACSGCUACUACAUCCAAGGAAGGCAGCARGYKGCAAAUUACCCAAUCCCGACRCGGGGAGGUAGUGACAAUAAAUAUGAUACAGGGCUCUUUUGGGUCUUGUAAUCGAAUGAGUACAAUUUAAAUCCCUACGAGGAACAAUUGGAGGGCAAGUUGGUCCAGCAGCCGCGGUAAUUCCAGCUCCAAUGCGUAUAUUAAAGUUGUGUUUGGUUAAAAAGCUGUAGUCGAACCUUGGGCCUGGCUGGCCGGUCCCCCUCACCGGGUGCAUGUCCACCGGGCCUUCCUCUGUGGCCCCAUGGCCUUCACUGGCUGUGCGGGGGAAACAGGACUUUUAUGUGAAAAAAUUAGAGUGUCCACAGGCCUAUGCUGAAUACAUUACAUGGAAUAAUAGAAUAGGACGUGGGUUUAUUUUGUUGGUUUCUAGGCCCGUAAUGAUUAAUAGGGACAGUGGGGGCAUCAGUAUUCAGUUUCAGAGGUGAAAUUUUGGAUUACUGAAGACUAAAUGGAAACAUUUCCAAGGAUGUUUUCAUUGAUAAGGAACGAAAGUUAGGGGAUGAAGACGAUCAGAUCCGUGAGUUUACUAUAAAUAUCCGAUAGGGAUCGGAGAUGUUAUUAUUUGACGCGUUCGGCACCUUUCGAGAAAUCAAGUGCUUGGGCUCCAGGGGGAGUAUGGUCGCAAGGCUGAAACUUAAAGAAAUUGACGAAGGGCACCACCAGGGGUGGAACUGCGGCUUAAUUUGACUCAACACGGGGAAACUCACCAGGUCCAGACACAGUGAGGAUGACAGUAUGAGA
This 985-nucleotide ribosomal RNA is filed under the name Scopulariopsis brevicaulis (arsenic fungus). RNAcentral describes it as "partial small subunit ribosomal RNA". Lineage: Eukaryota; Fungi; Ascomycota; Sordariomycetes; Microascales; Microascaceae. The record is from RNAcentral.